This 253-nucleotide ribosomal RNA is filed under the name uncultured bacterium. RNAcentral describes it as "partial 16S ribosomal RNA". It matches the Rfam family "Bacterial small subunit ribosomal RNA", at positions 524 to 776 of the family's 1533-position model. The record is from RNAcentral.
CACGUAGGGCGCAAGCGUUGUCCGGAUUUAUUGGGCGUAAAGAGCUCGUAGGCGGCUUGUCGCGUCGUCUGUGAAAUCCCACGGCUCAACUGUGGGCUUGCAGUCGAUACGGGCAGGCUGGAGUUCGGUAGGGGAGACUGGAAUUCCUGGUGUAGCGGUGAAAUGCGCAGAUAUCAGGAGGAACACCGGUGGCGAAGGCGGGUCUCUGGGCCGAUACUGACGCUGAGGAGCGAAAGCGUGGGGAGCGAACAGG